RNAcentral lists this ribosomal RNA (509 nucleotides) under Eucriotettix oculatus. RNAcentral describes it as "partial 16S ribosomal RNA". It matches the Rfam family "Bacterial large subunit ribosomal RNA", at positions 1851 to 2620 of the family's 2925-position model. Lineage: Eukaryota; Metazoa; Arthropoda; Insecta; Orthoptera; Tetrigidae. The record is from RNAcentral.
GGUAGGGCCUGCACACUGAAUUUUUAAAGAGCCGCAGUAUUUUGACUGUGCAAAGGUAGCAUAAUCAUUAGUAUAUUAAUUGUAUACUGGAAUGAAAGGUUUGACGAGGAAUAUACUGUCUCUUUCUAAUUUAUAGAAUUUUACUUUUUAGUUAAAAGGCUGAAAUUUUUUUUUUGGACGAUAAGACCCUAUAGAAUUUAAUUUAUUAUUUAUUAUUAAUUUGGGUUAUUUUUUAUUUUUAUGUUAUAAUUAAAUUUAGUUGGGGCGAUUUGAAUAAUUAAUAAACUGUUCAUUUAUUUUUUCAUUGAUUAAUGUUUUUAUGAUCCUUUAUUAUAGAUUAUAAGAUUAAAUUACCUUAGGGAUAACAGCGCAAUCAUCUUUGAGAGUUCUUAUUGACAGGAUUGGAUUGUGACCUCGAUGUUGGAUUAAGAUUAUUAAUUAGGUGAAGAUGCUUAAAUUAUUGGUCUGUUCGACCAUUAAAAUCUUACGUGAUCUGAGUCAAAAACCGG